Molecule: long non-coding RNA, 546 nt
Filed under: Capsicum annuum
Lineage: Eukaryota; Viridiplantae; Streptophyta; Magnoliopsida; Solanales; Solanaceae
Description: long non-coding RNA (CANN_LNC019021)
Source: RNAcentral
UCGAGAAGAAAAAUAAAAAGAGAAACAUGAAAGAGAACCUCACAAAUAAGUCCAAGUCGACACUGUUAUUAAUCAAAUUCGACAAUCUGUAAGACUCCUAAAUAAAAAGCUCGCAUAUAUUCCCAUAACGAAUAUGUAUGACCAUGAACUCAAAUGAAAAAAGGGAAAACAAAACCUCCAAAAACCAAUAAUUUAGAGCCAAUCACGUACAAAACAAAAACGAGAAAAAAUAAGACUAACCACAACUCUACAAACUACAGUAAAGGCGACUGUUAUUCCAAUCCUCCCCCUCAUUUGACCGAUUCGAACAAAGCGGUCAUUGAGGCAUCCUAGGACUUUUGAUACACUUUUGGACCUUGCUCAUUGUCCUUUUAGCAUAUGAGAAGCCAAAGGAGCCUAAGAGGUAGCUCUGCUAGCGACGUUGCUAGCUCAACAAUUAAGACACCAUCCAGUGGUAAUAACAAAUAAAAUACAUGUCAAGUAACAACUAUGAAUCAAACAACAUCAGGCUCAAACAAUUGAACACAAUCAAAGAAACAAUCUUUG